RNAcentral lists this ribosomal RNA (806 nucleotides) under uncultured Glomus. Its description in RNAcentral is "SSU rRNA". It matches the Rfam family "Eukaryotic small subunit ribosomal RNA", at positions 314 to 1114 of the family's 1831-position model. The record is from RNAcentral. Lineage: Eukaryota; Fungi; Glomeromycota; Glomeromycetes; Glomerales; Glomeraceae.
AUCAACUUUCGAUGGUAGGAUAGAGGCCUACCAUGGUGGUAACGGGUAACGGGGUGUUAGGGCACGACACCGGAGAGGGAGCCUGAGAAACGGCUACCACAUCCAAGGAUGGCAGCAGGCGCGCAAAUUACCCAAUCCCGACACGGGGAGGUAGUGACAAUAAAUAACAAUACGGGGCUCUUUCGGGUCUCGUAAUUGGAAUGAGUACAAUUUAAAUCCCUUAACGAGGAACAAUUGGAGGGCAAGUCUGGUGCCAGCAGCCGCGGUAAUUCCAGCUCCAAUAGCGUAUAUUAAAGUUGUUGCAGUUAAAAAGCUCGUAGUUGAAUUUCGGGAUUGACGUGAUGGUCAUGCCUUAAGGGGUAUGAACUGUCACUGUUGAUUUCUCACCUUCUGGAGAAACUUGAUGUCCUUUAUUGGGUGUCUUGCGGAUCCAGGACCUUUACCUUGAAAAAAUUAGAGUGUUUAAAGCAGGCAUUUUUGCUCGAAUACAUUAGCAUGGAAUAAUAGAAUAGGACGGCAUGGUUCUAUUUUGUUGGUUUCUAGGAUCACCGUAAUGAUUAAUAGGGAUAGUUGGGGGCAUUAGUAUUCAAUUGUCAGAGGUGAAAUUCUUGGAUUUAUUGAAGACUAACUACUGCGAAAGCAUUUGCCAAGGAUGUUUUCAUUAAUCAAGAACGAAAGUUAGGGGAUCGAAGACGAUCAGAUACCGUCGUAGUCUUAACCAUAAACUAUGCCGACUAGGAAUCAGACGAUGUUAAUUUUUUAAUGACUCGUUUGGCACCUUACGGGAAACCAAAGUGUUUGGGUUC